AAGCAGCAUCAAUGCAGACUAAUUGGAUUUUGAUUAUUUUAUCCGUCUUGGUGACCAUGGGACUGCUGAUGGUGGCCCAGAGCCAGUAUCAACUGAAGAGCAUUCUGGACAGCAAGAUUAAAAAAAUGGAUGUAGCGUUUGAGCAAUUUACUGUUGACUAUCUAAGUAAGGACGUCUUCAAAACCUCUGUGGAAAAACUGCUGGUUCAGAGCCAGGAAGAAGUGAAUAAUCUGGAAGCUGCACUCAAUAAACUCAGUUCAGAAACGGAGCAGAAGAAAAUGGAAAACGAUGCAUGCCAAGAACAAAUGAAAACCACACAAGUAGAGCUGGAAAGUAUCCAAAAGACACAAAGUGAAACUAAAGCUUCCUUGGAUGCAGAGGUUGAGGCCUGGACUAAGGAGAUUAACACUCUGAAAGAAAUACAGACACAAUACAGUCCAGUAUGUGCCUAUGUGAAGACGAGCAAGUUAGCUGAGAAAUUCUGUGGCAUAAACACAAACAAUGAAACAGCUUCGGAUAAGGAUAAAACCAAUGAGAAUAAACAGCAGCUCAGCAGGUGGUUUAAAUCUCCAAAUCUUUGUAGCUGCUAGAAAAGCCUGGAUGCAUAGAGGCGUGGGACUAAUGUAAAGAAACUCCAGAGGAAAGCAGUGAAGUGUGUGACACGGAUGGUAAAUGGCUGUUUAAUAAGUCACUUAUUUAGCAAGGAAGAAUUUGUUUGGAAAAUAUUAUUUUAGUUUCUAAUAAACUGAGGGCAUCAGGUUUGGAUGUACAAUGUGGAGGAAAUGUUUAAUGUACCCCCCAAAAAAUGUUAUUUCAAAUAAAAUGAUUAUGCACGGUUAAAGUUAGUUAAAAUAGCAAAUUUAAUAAUCUUUCGUGUAAGUUAAAAUUAAGAAUCGGACAUAUAACUACAAAAACCUAAUCUUAAAGUACGCUUUCUUUCUUGAAUCCAGAAAUAAGCACUUUACGCCACAAUAAAGUCGGUGUUGC
This 987-nucleotide long non-coding RNA is filed under the name Oreochromis niloticus (Nile tilapia). RNAcentral describes it as "lncRNA (ENSONIG00000035311.1)". Lineage: Eukaryota; Metazoa; Chordata; Actinopteri; Cichliformes; Cichlidae. The record is from RNAcentral.